UACGUAAGUGGCGAGCGUUAUCCGGAAUUACUGGGUGUAAAGGGUGUGUAGGCGGCUUAUUAAGUCCUGUGUUAAAUCCCACGGCUCAACUGUGGGCUUGCGCGGGAAACUGGUAGGCUUGAGUAGAGGAGAGGUAACUGGAAUUCCUAGUGUAGCGGUGAAAUGUGUAGAUAUUAGGAAGAACACCAGUGGCGAAGGCGGGUUACUGGCCUCUUACUGACGCUGAGACACGAAAGCCGGGGGAGCAAACAGG
RNAcentral lists this ribosomal RNA (253 nucleotides) under uncultured bacterium. RNAcentral describes it as "partial 16S ribosomal RNA". It matches the Rfam family "Bacterial small subunit ribosomal RNA", at positions 524 to 776 of the family's 1533-position model. The record is from RNAcentral.